CGCUGGGUCAUGUGGCUGGGAGGCCGGUCGUGGCUCCUGGUUUUUGGGCAAGUGUGCUCCAGUCUUCGGUGCCUCGCAUUUGCCAGGACUUGGGGUGCCUGUAGGGGACCCAUGGCGGAAAGACUCUCGACCGGGGCUGAGGCAGCGAGCGGGCUGGGGGCUCCAGCUCAGCAAAACGGAGAUGCGGGCGGCGACGCGAGGGGUGAGCAGCCCCCUGGGCACCCGGAGCCGGCGUGUUCAGAAGUGGAGCCGGUUUCGGGGGACGCGAAGCAGCCCUCAGGAAACGGGGAGCGGGCCCCGGCUGCAGCCCCGGGCCCUGGCAAGCGGAAGAAGCGGCGGGGCGCUGUUGGAGAGCGCGUUGUGCCGCCCCCGAAGAAGCGGCGGGCAGGGGUUAGCUUCGGCGAUGAACACUUUGCUGAGACCAGCUACUACUUUGAAGGCGGCUUGCGCAAAGUGCGGCCCUAUUACUUUGACUUCCGGACUUAUUGCAAAGGCCGCUGGGUGGGCCACAGCUUGCUGCACGUCUUUGGCACGGAGUUCAGAGCCCAGCCCCUGGCCUACUACGAGGCCGCUGUCCGGGCAGGACGCCUGCACCUCAACGAGGAGCCGGUACAGGACCUCAGCAUUGUGCUCAAGGACAAUGACUUCUUACGGAACACAGUGCAUAGGCAUGAGCCACCAGUUACAGCAGAACCCAUCCGCCUGCUAGCGGAGAACGAAGAUGUGGUGGUUGUAGACAAGCCUUCUUCCAUUCCUGUCCAUCCCUGUGGCCGCUUCCGACACAACACGGUCAUCUUCAUCCUGGGCAAGGAGCACCAACUAAAGGAGCUACACCCAUUGCAUCGGCUUGAUCGCCUUACCUCCGGGGUCCUCAUGUUUGCCAAAACAGCAGCCGUCUCAGAGAGAAUUCAUGAACAGGUUCGGGACCGGCAGCUGGAGAAGGAAUACGUGUGCCGGGUGGCGGGGGAGUUCCCUGCCGAGGAGGUAACCUGCAAGGAGCCUAUCUUGGUGGUGUCUUACAAGGUAGGGGUGUGCCGUGUAGAUCCUCAGGGCAAGGCCUGUGAGUCAGUGUUCCAGAGACUGAGCUACAACGGCCACUCCAGUGUGGUACGAUGCCGGCCACUUACAGGCCGCACCCACCAGAUCCGAGUCCACCUCCAGUUCCUGGGCCACCCCAUCCUCAAUGACCCCAUCUACAACUCAGCCGCCUGGGGCCCCUCACGAGGCCGAGGCGGCCACAUCCCAAAGACAGAUGAGGAACUACUGCGGGACCUUGUGGCCGAGCACCAAGCCAAACAGAGUCUGGAUGUGCUAGAUCUCUGUGGGGGGGACCUGUGCCCUGGACCCCCAGACCCUACAGCACCUUCCUCAGAGCUCAGCAAGGACUGCCUAGAAGAGAUGGCUGCAUCUGCCCAGAAGAUGGAUGGAGCAGUUGAGGCAGCCCCUCAGGAUCUGGACGGAGUGCCUGUGGCGUCAGGGAAGGCAACCAAAACAGAUGUGAAUCAAGAGACAGACCCACUCUGUUCAGAGUGCCGGAGAGUGCCACAAGAUCCCUCACCCCAGGACCUUGUGAUGUUCCUGCAUGCCCUGCGCUAUAAAGGGCCAGACUUUGAGUACCAUUCACCAAUGCCUGCCUGGGCACGAGAUGACUGGCAAGAACACUGAGGGCUAUGGCCAAUGGAGGGAUUAUUUAUUGGAUCGGAACACGUAUGGGCCAUGAAGUAGGAGCUGACUACAUGGGCUGCUGUGACUCCAGACAGAAUCCAAGAGGAGAUUUACAAUCUUUUCUCUGGAUUUUAGAGCUUACUCUACCUUUUUGUGUUAGCCUUAAUCCUUUGGGUCUCGUAGAAAGAGGUAAAAUAAGCACAACUCUUAUACAUCAAAAGAUCACAGAAAUGCAAAAAAACUGGGACCAUCAUAGCAAGACUUACUGCAAUUUCAUAUGAACGAAACCACAAAUGAACUAAGCAUGAAAACAGGUAAAGAAAUGAGGAAUAGAAAAGUGAACUUCCACUCAUGAUUUCUUCUUCUUUUUAAUCUCAAGACACUUCCAGUGCUUUAUAGUUUCAGAAUUUUUACAACUGAAGAUCUUCCUUUGAGAAAACAACCCACUCACUUUUUAUUUAUAGAGACUGGACACAUUGAUAGACCUUAUCAAUUUUCCAUAGGAUAUCAUCACUGUGAGAAGCAGGCAAACCUCAGAAAAAUGAUGCAGACUUGCCACUCUUUGGAGAGGUCAAAGUACCAAUGAACCAUUUAAAUACCAUCUGGCAAAUGCUGAGGAAGACACACGGAGCUCCAGGAACAUCUAGGAGGGGUACAAAGACCCAGAAGCAGAAGAGCAUGAACUAGGUGAGAGAAAUCUAAGAAGGAGCUGCAGGUUGCAGGCCUAGGAAAGUCUUCCUGAUGGGGAAUUACGUCAAAGCUGAGAUCUGAAGGAGGAGCAGGAGCCAGCCAGGACGGGGUUGAUGGGAAGGAGGUGUUGGGCAGCAGGAGCAUAAUCCAGGGAGAGGAGUAAGUAAUCUGCAAAGGUGUCCGGGAGACAGAACAAGGCCUAAUUUAAGGGAGGGGUUUUAAGACUGAUGUGUUGAGGACACUUCAGAAAAUCCCUCAGGAGCUCUUAACCUUUUCUUGUGACACAGAUCUUGGGCAGUCUGGUGAAGCCUAUGGGUCCCUUCUCAGAAUAUUGGUUUUAAAUGCAUAAGAUUAAAAAAAAAUAAUAAAAAAAUAAAUGCAUGAUUAAAUUUGUUGUAAUAUAAAGUCAACCAAUUAUGUUGGAAUACAGUUAUCAAAAUAGUUUUAAAAUCUGUGAUUUAAUUCCAAAUGAAGUCAGAAAGAGAAAGAGAAAUACCAUAUAUCACUUACAUGUAGAAUCUAACAUAUGUGUGGAAUCUAUGA
RNA transcript from Cervus elaphus (red deer), 2898 nucleotides. It is a transcript of the gene named RNA pseudouridine synthase domain containing 2, with no coding region annotated. The record is from RefSeq and is a predicted model, not a curated record. The transcript has 4 exons. Lineage: Eukaryota; Metazoa; Chordata; Mammalia; Artiodactyla; Cervidae.